AAGUCGUAACAAGGUUUCCGUAGGUGAACCUGCGGAAGGAUCAUUAUUAAUUCUUUCAGUGAAGCGGCUGCGUGUUAACGCGUGCAGUCGUUUUUCUUGUGAACUGGGGUUGUUGCUUGAGUUUAAUCGCUUUAAGUGGCAGCCUGUCGUUAAUGCUCUUGUGUUAAUUUUUUUUUGUUUUUGCUUUUUUAAGCUUAACCGCUUAAGAAAAUAAUUACAAGACAACUUUCAGCAAUGGAUCUCUUGGCUCUU
Molecule: unclassified non-coding RNA, 252 nt
Filed under: Allomyces arbusculus
Lineage: Eukaryota; Fungi; Blastocladiomycota; Blastocladiomycetes; Blastocladiales; Blastocladiaceae
Description: partial internal transcribed spacer region
Rfam family: Eukaryotic small subunit ribosomal RNA (bases 1-46)
Source: RNAcentral